UACGUAGGCAGCGAGCGUUGUUCGGAGUUACUGGGCGUAAAGCGUGCGUAGGCGGUGUCUUAAGUUUGUUGUGAAAUCUCCCGGCUUAACCGGGAGGGUGCGGCGAAUACUGAGAUGCUGGAGUGCCGGAGAGGUAAGCGGAAUUCCUGGUGUAGCGGUGAAAUGCGUAGAUAUCAGGAGGAACACCUGCGGUGUAGACGGCUUACUGGACGGUAACUGACGCUGAGGUGCGAAAGCGUGGGGAGCGAACGGG
RNAcentral lists this ribosomal RNA (253 nucleotides) under uncultured bacterium. Its description in RNAcentral is "partial 16S ribosomal RNA". It matches the Rfam family "Bacterial small subunit ribosomal RNA", at positions 524 to 776 of the family's 1533-position model. The record is from RNAcentral.